This 42-nucleotide small RNA is filed under the name Plasmodium falciparum 3D7. RNAcentral's name for it is "Pfa-starR6509". The record is from RNAcentral. Lineage: Eukaryota; Apicomplexa; Aconoidasida; Haemosporida; Plasmodiidae.
CCAGAGAUACCUAAUGUACGUCCUAAUGUAGGUAAUAUAGGU